CAGAGAAUAGUUUAAUUAAAAUAUUAAUUUUGGGGAUUAAUGAUGGAACAUAAUGUUCUUUCUCUGA
This 67-nucleotide transfer RNA is filed under the name Teleogryllus emma (emma field cricket). RNAcentral's name for it is "tRNA-Pro". The record is from RNAcentral. Lineage: Eukaryota; Metazoa; Arthropoda; Insecta; Orthoptera; Gryllidae.